RNAcentral lists this ribosomal RNA (406 nucleotides) under uncultured bacterium. Its description in RNAcentral is "partial 16S ribosomal RNA". It matches the Rfam family "Bacterial small subunit ribosomal RNA", at positions 28 to 526 of the family's 1533-position model. The record is from RNAcentral.
GACGAACGCUGGCGGCGUGCUUAACACAUGCAAGUCGAGCGAGUGGCGGACGGGUGAGUAAUGUCUGGGAAACUGCCCGAUGGAGGGGGAUAACUACUGGAAACGGUAGCUAAUACCGCAUACCAUCGGAUGUGCCCAGAUGGGAUUAGCUAGUAGGUGGGGUAACGGCUUACCUAGGCGACGAUCCCUAGCUGGUCUGAGAGGAUGACCAGCAACACUGGGACUGAGACACGGUCCAGACUCCGACGGGAGGCAGCAGUGGGGAAUAUUGCAAAAUGGGCGCAAGCCUGAUGGAGCCAUGCCGCGUGUAUGAAGAAGGCCUUCGGGUUGUAAAGUACUGUCAGCGGGGAGGCGUUACUCGCAGAAGAAGCACCGGCUAACUCCGUGCCAGCAGCCGCGGUAAUAC